UCCGUUGGUGAACCAGCGGAGGGAUCAUUACAGAGUUGCAAAACUCCCUAAACCAUUGUGAACGUUACCUAAACCGUUGCUUCGGCGGGCGGCCCCGGGGUUCUCCCCGGGCGCCCCUGGGCCCCAUCGCGGGCGCCCGCCGGAGGUCACCAAACUCUUGGUAAUUUAUGGCCUCUCUGAGUCUUCUGUACUGAAUAAGUCAAAACUUUCAACAACGGAUCUCUUGGUUCUGGCAUCGAUGAAGAACGCAGCGAAAAAAUUGACGAAUUAAAAGUUAAAAUUGGUUGGAAAAUUUUUGGCCMAAGGRAAAAACUUUUGCCMAAGGGUGAAUCAUCGAAUCUUUGAACGCACAUUGCGCCCGCCAGUAUUCUGGCGGGCAUGCCUGUUCGAGCGUCAUUUCAACCAUCAAGCCCCCGGCUUGUGUUGGGGACCUGCGGCUGCCGCAGGCCCUGAAAAGCAGUGGCGGGCUCGCUGUCACACCGAGCGUAGUAGCAUACAUCUCGCUCUGGGCGUGCUGCGGGUUCCGGCCGUAAAACCACCUUCAUAACCCAAGGUUGACCUCGGAUCAGGUAGGAAGACCCGCUGAACUUAAGCAUAUCAAUAAGCGGAGGA
This 612-nucleotide ribosomal RNA is filed under the name uncultured fungus. Its description in RNAcentral is "eukaryotic LSU rRNA". Lineage: Eukaryota; Fungi. The record is from RNAcentral.